AGGUUACCACUUAGCAGAAGUCCAUUUUGGGGAGGUCCCAGCACAAGGGCGCAACACAAUAUAUCUAAUCCUUUCCGUUCUUGGUGUUGCCGUGGUCAUAUAGCCUACAACUGGGCAAUAACAUCUGCAAGUCCGUUUAGAGAAUGGAUAUUUUGAGUGCCGUCGGCGAUGCGUGCGCACGGGGUUCGCUCAGACUGGAAAACAUCGCAUUUAUCCUUUUUUUUUUUAAACCUUAGGGGAAUCCCGAGUGCUACACUGUUGCGUUUUUCUUAUUUUGGAGAAAACAACAUUUCAAGUUAUUUUGAAAGAAAAUGGUGCAAUUACGUCCCCAAGGAUAUUCUUUCUAAAUUUGGUGAUUGUGCAAUACCAGCGCCACUGAUCAAAAAGAGGGGCGGUGGUGGUGUGAUGAGCAGCAGCGAACUUCAACUUCGCACGCAUCUCCAAUCUCGCCCAUAUACUCAUCAAGCGAGGGUUUUGCGCGAAGUCAUCUUGCUGUCCAAGGGAUGCGGACGAGACAUCACGGAUCCUACCGCUUUGCGCAUUUAUGCUGAACAUGUUUGCGACAUCGGAGAAUAUCAGCAAGUCGGUGCAGGUUUGAAGCUCUGCAACUCCAGCAAGGUAAUUAAGCAUUGCAUUCUGUCAAAAUAUUCCAUUACAAAAGUCUUGAAGAAGUGUCUCCGGUGACUAUCUAGAUGGGAGGGGAGGUGAGUUGGUCCGUUUAUUGUCCAGUUCUUUCUGUUUCUUUCUUGAGUGAUGAUGCUCCUCCUCCAGCUCUGUCAUUGGAGAAAUCCUUUCAAAUAACAAAGCUUCAUUGAGUGAUGAUGACAAACAUUUCCAGAAAGAGAGGGGUGAGAGAACUACCUGUAUGACAUGCAAUAUGGACUCUCUAUGCGCCCCCUCUAGUGUGAGUCAUCAGGCCUAAAGACGCCGAGCUGUGAGUGGUGAAUCAGGUGUUGAUAAUGGCCAACAGUGGAGGGCUAGUCAGCCAACAGUUGCUAUUUGGCGUGGAACUUGUGCGCUGAGUCGCCGACAAACCAUGGAAUGAAUCCUUUGGAGACUAAUGGGCGAGCCAACCUUUUCCAGUGUUUGUCAUGGUGAGUUUGUUUGCCUAUAUGCAUACCUCAUAUUCAUAUUCAGUGCUAACUUUAGUGCUUGUGUGUUUCCAUUCUGUGAAUAUAGGUCCUCAAAGCACAACGUGGUCCAGUUUCAGAGAAACUGCCUCAUUCAGCACAAAUAUUAUGGAAGAUCAUUUAGAUACUUCUCCGCCCUCCUUGUCCUCGCCAACCAGGCAUGGGAGAGGUGCUGACAGAUGUCGUUUUUUUUUUCUGGCAAUUUGGAGUCAACGAUGCAUGUUAGCAAACCCCACCGGCUCUCUUAGUUUGCAUUGCAAAACCAGGAGGCCCCCAACGUGCAUUGUGCAAUGUACACAGCACUCUGUUGGGUGACUGGCAUGUGUCUGAUGAUGCUUGAUGCUUUAGAUAUGGUUGUGGCCGUUGAAUGAGGCGUUCACAGUAAAUUAAAUGUUGUCAGGGGUCUGUAUUGGCAAGAAUGCACAAAAUCCCUGUCAUUCAGUAACUAAUAGCUUUUACGCUAAAACGGACUUCGCAGAAUAAGGCAAAGAUGCUCAACAGUUCAAAUCUCUGCACAGCACAUUGGAAAAGACUAAGGGGAGACAACCUUGCUACCUCAAAUGGCCUCCUGCAGUCUUCAAGGACUGGUGAGUGGGUGUGAGGACGUUGGUAAAAUGAAAAAAUGCAGAGUCAGGCGCAGGACACAAUUCUGAGUAAUCAUCCAAAAUUUACUCCAAAAUAACUAAGAUUCCAACAAGGAACAAAUACAAUAAUCCCAAACGCAAACAAUGAGAACCCACAUGACAAACAAUAACGCACAAAACAGAGAGGGAAAUCAGAGGGUUAAAUAAGGAACAUCAUUAAUGGAAUGGAAACCAGGUGUGUAUGAUCAAGACAAAACAAAACGAAAAUUAAACAUAGAUUGGUUGUGUCUAGGAAGCCAGUGACGUCGACCGCCAAACGCCGCCCGAAGAAGGAGAGGGACCAACUUCGGCCGAAGUCGUGACAGUGGGGCUGGUGAACUUAAUGAGAUUUUCAUGGUUUCUGAAGUAUCUUUGGGAUUUCUCAGUCGGUCUCAACAGCACAGCAUGAAGCUACAGCUUGAAGACCCACGGUCUAGUCCUCCUUGUCCAGACUGGCUCAGUUGAUAGGACGGCAUGACCGGAAGUCCAUCUUCCUCAAAACCCCUCUUACAUUACAUUAGAAAGGUCUUCCGCCCCUCUCAAAACUGUCAUUGGAGCUCCUUCAAAAUCACAGAGAAAACAUGAUUGUUCCUCUUUGGUCUUUAUGUUGGCAAACCCCCUUUCGUCUUGAAGGAGAAGCAAAAAUCCAUUUAUAGUCCGUUUCAGGGGGAAAAUGUGUGUGUAGCGCAACUGUUCUCCAGGGCCGAACAAAGAGCUGUUUUAUGUUGGCACCAGAUUGAGGUCUGUGGAUCACAAUGUGACAAGGCAGACCUCAGAAGACGCUUGCCCAGCAGCUAGUGAUGUGCCUUCUUAUUCUUGGAGCCACUCUCUCAUUCCAGGACAUGGAAACCCUUGGCCUGGCCAUCCAUACAACUCCAAAACCAACAGUGCUGCCCAUGUGUAAGCAAAGAGGGCAAGUGUUUUUUUCAUGACACCUAAAUGUCUUUUUCUUUUGUGGACAGCAUCUUUCGCUGCCCCUUUUGCUUUUUGUUAUUCCACAAGUCUGUGUCUUGGCCAGUUCCUGUGCACAUAGCUCUGCGGGAUCUGAGGCGUCACACACUGUGGCAAUGUUUUUUUGGUCAUGUGACAUCUAGAGGUGACACUGGCAUCGAUCCUCCGACCGUUUCACACUCCAACACUGCCAGCAGGAACUUUUGACUUCCUUGACUUCCCUUUUAGUUUGUAGUGGAGUAAAGGGGCUUUACAGCACUUCUACAUUGAAACCCUGUUUUGGAACGCUUUCUUUAGAUCAGUGGUCAUCAACAGGUCGAUCUCCAAGGCAUUCCUAGUCGAUCGCCAAAUAUUUCUGUAAAAAACCCAACAAUAAGCCGUGCGUUCCUAUUUUCUAUUUUACGCUGUUGUUGGUAGGUGCACCUGAUUCAGCUGCCCUGCGCUCCAGCGAUGUGUUCCCAUUUUCAACCAUUUUAUAUGUUUGAAGGUACAAACUCUGCCUUCCCGGGGGGAGCAAAUCAAGUACACUAUAGGCCUACCAAUCGGAGGACUGUCUGCAGAAACAUAGCAGGCAUAAAAGAAAGCUACAGCAAAGGCGGUACAGAGGGUUGUGUGUACGGCCCAGUACAUCACUGGGGCCAAUCUUCCUGCCAGCCAGGACCUCUAUACCAGGAGGUGUCAGAGGAAGGCCACAAAAAUGUGUCAAAGACUCCAGUCAUCCAAGUCAUAGACUGUU
Molecule: long non-coding RNA, 3440 nt
Organism: Oncorhynchus gorbuscha (pink salmon)
Lineage: Eukaryota; Metazoa; Chordata; Actinopteri; Salmoniformes; Salmonidae
Exons: 3
Source: RefSeq, a predicted model, not a curated record